GGCUGAGUGGCUCAGUUGGUUAAGCGUCUGACUUCAGCUCAGGUCAUGAUCUCACGGUUCAUGGGUUCAAGCCCCAUGUCGGGCU
Molecule: transfer RNA, 85 nt
Filed under: Felis catus (domestic cat)
Lineage: Eukaryota; Metazoa; Chordata; Mammalia; Carnivora; Felidae
Rfam family: tRNA
About the family: Transfer RNA (tRNA) molecules are approximately 80 nucleotides in length. Their secondary structure includes four short double-helical elements and three loops (D, anti-codon, and T loops). Further hydrogen bonds mediate the characteristic L-shaped molecular structure. tRNAs have two regions of fundamental functional importance: the anti-codon, which is responsible for specific mRNA codon recognition, and the 3' end, to which the tRNAs corresponding amino acid is attached (by aminoacyl-tRNA synthetases). tRNAs cope with the degeneracy of the genetic code in two manners: having more than one tRNA (with a specific anti-codon) for a particular amino acid; and 'wobble' base-pairing, i.e. permitting non-standard base-pairing at the 3rd anti-codon position.
Source: Rfam by way of RNAcentral